GUCUUUCCUCAGGAAACAGGAAGGCGUUGUACCUUGGCAGGCACGGUGACGGUGAGUUUGUGCACUGCAGUUUGCAGCAGGGGCUAGGGCUUCCUUUCCCCGGGCCCCGGAGGGCGUCUCGGGCUGUGGCCAUCACGCGUGCGCGCUGGGCUGUGUGGGAAGCAGAUGGGGCGAUGCUGGGCCCCUGGCGCUUGCGCAGACUGCAUGAUGUGCUGUUCUGAGAUGUCUGGGUGAGGAGCCCACGUCUCCUCUAACUGCGAGAGGUGCGGGAGUCGUCCUCCUGGACCCUCCUGGGGCAGCAGGGGCGGCGAGGGCAGGCGGGGGCGAAGGCAGGCUCCCCACUGCUCCCCCUCCGGGGCCUGCAGCCCGCCUGAGCGCCCGUGUCUGACCCCGCCGGGCAGGGGUUCUGCCUGGUGUCUCGCUCGUUUCAGGCCGAGAGGAAACCCAGUCACUCGUACUCCGGCAGAAGCAGAGAGCUCGCGCCCUUCGUGCUAACCAGAGAAUGUCCCGGAGCUUCAUUCAUCACUUACAGACACACACACACCGCACACACAUACACACCACACAUCACACGUACAUUCACACUACAGACACAUCACACAAUCAUACACACCACACUACACGUAUACACACACCACACGUCCAUACAAACACACGCACUCACGCAUACAUACCACACGCGUGCACACGCACACACACACACAUCAGAGAGUUUUCUGUCCCCAGAUGUCCAUAGUGCUGAGGCUCCGGGACCCUUGUCAUCACUUCGUGGUAAUGUAACUUCAUAAUAAGAAGCCAGUGCGUCUACUAAGCCAAUGGGAAACGAUGAGCAAGACCUUCCGGACCUCCCUUCGGUCGCCUGGAACGCGGUGGCCCAGAAUUCAGUCUGCUUCUCGCAGCGCGUCUUCUUUCCUGACAUCUGGAAAGCCAUCUGACUUUCUGGCCUCAGUUUUCUUGUCUGUUAGAGAAAUAUUUGGACUCUGGAGAUAAAUCGGUAUCAAAAGGUGGAGACGUCGUGUGACCGCAGACACAAAACGGAAAAGCAGGGGACAAACGGACGUUACGAGGAGCCCCUCGGAGGGGGCGGGUCUGUGGGGUUUGGUUGUCUUCCUGCCUGACGGAGACAGGCCGCUCAGCUCACCUCUGCUGAGUCUCGGACUCAGAUCCCGACCAGCGCCCCUUCUCACCAGCAGGGAGGCGGGCGAUCUGAGGGUCUACAUGAAGAAUUUCAUGGGGAGUCUGUGUGUCUUCAUGGCCAUCCACCUCUCCUGCCCGUGCUGCUUUGGAACAUCCUUGGCUUCUCCAACCUUUAAUCCUCAGUUGCAGAAAAGGGAGAAGGAAUUUAAAUGGCAGGAUAGUCAGGUACUGACACGUAGGUCAGCGAAGGAGCCAGUGGGUCCACCACGGAUUCAUUUACGUAUCAACGCCAGGCUGGGCAGUUGGAUGACUUCACUCUCGUCGGAGCUUCCAGAACAAACAAAAACAAACAGUUUGCAGGUCUAGAAGCUGCUGAGCUGUCAUCACCCAAAAGGGUGAGACUAGGGACAGACUG
Ailuropoda melanoleuca (giant panda) is the source of this 1552-nucleotide long non-coding RNA. RefSeq lists it as uncharacterized. Lineage: Eukaryota; Metazoa; Chordata; Mammalia; Carnivora; Ursidae. The record is from RefSeq and is a predicted model, not a curated record. The transcript has 3 exons.